GAGUUUGAUCCUGGCUCAGAACGAACGCUUGCGGCGCGCCUAAUACAUGCAAGUCGAACGAGGUAGCAAUACCAAGUGGCGCACGGGUGAGUAACACGUGGAUAAUGUGCCAUUUAGUGGGGAAUAACCGACCGAAAGGUCAGCUAAUACCGCAUGAGACCACAGUCCCUGAGGGGACAGAGGUUAAAGAUUUAUCGCUAAAUGAUCAGUCUGCGUAAGAUUAGCUAGUUGGUGAGGUAAUGGCUCACCAAGGCAACGAUCUUUAGGUGGUCUGAGAGGAUGACCACCCACACUGGAACUGAGACACGGUCCAGACUCCUACGGGAGGCAGCAGUAGGGAAUAUUGCACAAUGGGGGAAACCCUGAUGCAGCGACGCCGCGUGAGUGAUGAAGGCCUUCGGGUCGUAAAGCUCUGUUGAAUGGGAAUAAAAAAAUGAAGGUACCAUUUAAGAAAGGAUCGGCUAACUUCGUGCCAGCAGCCGCGGUAAUACGAGGGAUCCUAGCGUUGUUCGGAAUCAUUGGGCGUAAAGAGUAUGUAGGCGGCCUAGUAAGUCAGUUGUGAAAGCCCCGGGCUCAACCCGGGAAGUGCAAUUGAUACUGCUUGGCUUGAAUGUGGAAGAGGGCAGUAGAAUUCCAGGUGUAGUGGUGAAAUACGUAGAUAUCUGGAGGAAUACCGGUGGCGAACGCGGCUGCCUGGUCCUACGUUGACGCUGAGAUACGAAAGCGUGGGGAGCAAACAGGAUUAGAUACCCUGGUAGUCCACGCUGUAAACGAUGAACACUUGUUGUUGGAGGUAUUGACCCCUUUCAGUGACGAAGCUAACGCGUUAAGUGUUCCGCCUGGGGAGUACGGUCGCAAGAUUAAAACUCAAAGAAAUUGACGGGGGCCCGCACAAGCGGUGGAGCAUGUGGUUUAAUUCGAUGCAACGCGAAAAACCUUACCUAGGCUCGAAAUGUACAGGAAGUUAGCAGAGAUGUUAACGUCUUCGGACCUGUAUAUAGGUGCUGCAUGGCUGUCGUCAGCUCGUGUCGUGAGAUGUUGGGUUAAGUCCCGCAACGAGCGCAACCCUUGCCUUUAGUUGCCAGCAUUAAGUUGGGCACUCUAAAGGGACUGCCGGUGUUAAACCGGAGGAAGGUGGGGAUGACGUCAAGUCCUCAUGGCCCUUAUGUCUAGGGCUACACACGUGCUACAAUGGUCGGUACAGAGAGCUGCGAACUCGCAAGAGGGUGCUAAUCUCAUAAAACCGAUCUAAGUUCAGAUUGAGGUCUGCAACUCGACCUCAUGAAGGUGGAAUCGCUAGUAAUCGCGGAUCAGCAUGCCGCGGUGAAUACGUUCCCGGGCCUUGUACACACCGCCCGUCACACCAUGAAAGUCGGCUGUACCAGAAGUCGCUGUGCUAACCGCAAGGAGGCAGGCGCCCAAGGUAUGGUCGAUGAUUGGGGUGAAGUCGUAACAAGGUAACC
Molecule: ribosomal RNA, 1463 nt
Filed under: uncultured bacterium
Lineage: Bacteria
Description: bacterial SSU rRNA
Rfam family: Bacterial small subunit ribosomal RNA
Source: RNAcentral